CAGCAGCCGCGGUAAUACCGAGGGUGCGAGCGUUAAUCGGAUUUACUGGGCGUAAAGCGUGCGUAGGCGGCUUUUUAAGUCGGAUGUGAAAUCCCUGAGCUUAACUUAGGAAUUGCAUUCGAUACUGGGAAGCUAGAGUAUGGGAGAGGAUGGUAGAAUUCAGGUGUAGCGGUGAAAUGCGUAGAGAUCUGGAGGAAUACCGAUGGCGAAGGCAGCCAUCUGGCCUAAUACUGACGCUGAGGUACGAAAGCAUGGGGAGCAAACAGGAUUAGAUACCCCUGUAGUCCCUGUCUCUUAUACC
RNAcentral lists this ribosomal RNA (301 nucleotides) under uncultured bacterium. Its description in RNAcentral is "partial 16S ribosomal RNA". It matches the Rfam family "Bacterial small subunit ribosomal RNA", at positions 509 to 808 of the family's 1533-position model. The record is from RNAcentral.